GGUAUUGGAUACCGAUAGUACAAAUCAUGUUUGCAAUUAGUUGUAAAGUCUUCAAGAUAGUAGAAGGUUUGAAAAUGGUGAGACACUCCUGAAUGUAAGAGAUGGAAGUUUAUUCCAAUCCUAACAUUAGGAAUCAUUGAGCUUAUUUUCAACUCUGAUGAUAUCAUUUUAAGUGAUUGUUACUACUAUCCAAUCUUAUUGAUAGUAUCAAUAAAAAUGAUUAUUGUGAUAUCAUUGUGAAUGAUACUGCAAUAAUGAGUGGACAAUUGAAAAUGACAUAUACCCAGUACCACAGCC
Molecule: long non-coding RNA, 297 nt
Filed under: Elaeis guineensis (African oil palm)
Lineage: Eukaryota; Viridiplantae; Streptophyta; Magnoliopsida; Arecales; Arecaceae
Description: long non-coding RNA (EGUI_LNC040577)
Source: RNAcentral